UCAAGUUUUAAACCUUAACCUAAGAUAUUUAGUUCGGUUAGACGGCAUCGAGGGCCAACUUCUGUCAUAAUUGUCAUUAUUAUUAUCGAUUUUCUUUCCUUCCUUGCCAUCACCCACCUUCGCAUCAUCGAUCGUCGCCAUUGCUUAUUCCUUUUUAUUUGGGCGUCCAUUGGGUGUGUUCUUUUGUUUUUUUCUCAACAAAAAAUAGUUAAAAAUGUAGCUUAAAGUCAUUAAAGUGUAAUUUCAUCAUAUAGGCAGAAGCUUUUUUGUUGUUUUAUUGUGUGGUUUCAGAUCCCUAGGAUGGGGUCUGACGAAAGGUAUCAUCAGUGCUUUGCUGCUAGGAAGUACCAAAAGCACAAUAAGUGAAACAACUUCCAUUCUACUACUCAACGAGGUACCUCACCUCGAUAAGGUGGGAGUAAGAUCCAGGGAUGCUCUUUGAAUAUUUAAGAAAAAGGACCGAUGACAUCUAGAAUUAAGGGUAUACAUCAGUGUCAACUAAUUUUUAAUAUCAUACUCUCCAUAAAGAAUAUUUUAAUUACAGGAUUAGUUUUUAUAUAUUACCACUCCCCUAACAUUUUUGGGUACCCUCUGUACAAAAAAGUAGGUAGUAAACGUAAAAUUUUUAGGGCAUAUUUUUGAGAAAUAUAGUUCUUAUGUCUGUAAAUAAUUAAUUUAUAAAUUUGAUAAAUUGUAAUUUUUGUAUCAUAUCCUCAAAAUGUAAAAUGUAAAAAGCAAAAUACAUACCAUGGAGUGUUGUGCUAAAGCAGCACAAAAACAAAUUGUAUCAGGAUCCCUUUUAAGACAAUAAAUUAUAAACUUAC
This 824-nucleotide long non-coding RNA is filed under the name Anthonomus grandis grandis. RNAcentral describes it as "uncharacterized LOC126749991". Lineage: Eukaryota; Metazoa; Arthropoda; Insecta; Coleoptera; Curculionidae. The record is from RNAcentral.